GAUGAAGAACGUAGCGAAAUGCGAUAAGUAAUGUGAAUUGCAUAAUUCAGUGAAUCAUCGAAUCUUUGAACGCACCUUGCGCCCUUUGGCCAUUCCGAAGGGCAUGCCUGUUUGAGUAUCAUGAACACCUCAACUCUUUAUGGUUUUCCAUGAUGAGCUUGGACUCUGGGGGUUUUGCUGGCUCACAGUCGGCUCCUCUAAAAUGAAUCAGCUUACCAGUGUUUGGUGGGUAUCAUGGGUGUGAUAACUAUCUACGCUUGUGGUUUUUCCACCAGGUAACCUUCAGCAGUGGAGGUUCGCUGGAGCUCAUAGAUGUCUCUCCUCAGUGAGGACAGCCCUUUGAAUGUUUGAUCUCAAAUCAGGUAGGACUACCCGCUGAACUUAAGCAUAUCAAUAAGCGGAGGA
Molecule: unclassified non-coding RNA, 405 nt
Filed under: soil metagenome
Description: partial contains 5.8S ribosomal RNA, internal transcribed spacer 2, and large subunit ribosomal RNA
Rfam family: 5.8S ribosomal RNA (bases 1-121)
Source: RNAcentral